UACGGAGGGUGCAAGCAUUGAUCGGAAUUACUGGGCGUAAAGGGCGCGUAGGCGGUUAUGUAAGUCAGAUGUGAAAUUCCGGGGCUCAACCCCGGAGCUGCAUUUGAAACUGCAAGACUAGAGUAUAGUUAGGGUAAACGGAAUUCCACGUGUAGCGGUGAAAUGCGUAGAUAUGUGGAAGAACACCGGUGGUGAAGACGGUUUACUGGGCUAUAACUGACGCUGAGGCGCGAAAGCAUGGGGAGCAAACAGG
RNAcentral lists this ribosomal RNA (253 nucleotides) under uncultured bacterium. Its description in RNAcentral is "partial 16S ribosomal RNA". It matches the Rfam family "Bacterial small subunit ribosomal RNA", at positions 524 to 776 of the family's 1533-position model. The record is from RNAcentral.